RNAcentral lists this ribosomal RNA (439 nucleotides) under uncultured bacterium. RNAcentral's name for it is "partial 16S ribosomal RNA". It matches the Rfam family "Bacterial small subunit ribosomal RNA", at positions 339 to 795 of the family's 1533-position model. The record is from RNAcentral.
CUACGGGUGGCAGCAGUGAGGAAUAUUGCACAAUGGGGGGAACCCUGAUGCAGCAACGCCGCGUGGAGGAUGACGCAUUUCGGUGUGUAAACUCCUUUUAUAUGUCAAGAAAAUGACGGUAGCAUAUGAAUAAGCACCGGCUAACUCCGUGCCAGCAGCCGCGGUAAUACGGAGGGUGCAAGCGUUACUCGGAAUCACUGGGCGUAAAGGACGCGUAGGCGGGUUGGAAAGUCAGGUGUGAAAUCCUACAGCUUAACUGUAGAACUGCACUUGAAACUUCUAAUCUAGAGUAUGGGAGGGGGAGAUGGAAUUAGUGGUGUAGGGGUAAAAUCCGCAGAUAUCACUAGGAAUGCCUAAAGCGAAGACGAUCUCCUGGAACAUUACUGACGCUAAGGCGUGAAAGCGUGGGGAGCAAACAGGAUUAGAUACCCGGGUAGUC